UACGGAGGAUGCGAGUGUUAUCCGGAUUUAUUGGGUUUAAAGGGUGCGUAGGCGGGCUUUUAAGUCAGCGGUAAAAAUUCGGGGCUCAACCCCGUCCGGCCGUUGAAACUGGGGGCCUUGAGUGGGCGAGAAGAAGGCGGAAUGCGUGGUGUAGCGGUGAAAUGCAUAGAUAUCACGCAGAACCCCGAUUGCGAAGGCAGCCUUCCGGCGCCCUACUGACGCUGAGGCACGAAAGUGCGGGGAUCGAACAGG
Molecule: ribosomal RNA, 252 nt
Filed under: uncultured bacterium
Lineage: Bacteria
Description: partial 16S ribosomal RNA
Rfam family: Bacterial small subunit ribosomal RNA
Source: RNAcentral